AAGAAAAUGCUCGAAAAGCCAAGCACGAAGGACAGAGACAGCUCUUUCAGGUAAACCUCUUUGGGGUCUCCAAGCAUUUGGUUGCAUCAUUCCUAGCUGUUGCAGCGCGCGUUGUUGCCUUAGAUGAUGGUCCACAAAUUUGAGUCUUGAGCCUUCAAUUUUCCCUCCCAAGCCUUCAUCUUCACCUAAACUCUUGCUCGUCGCCUUCACUUGCUCACUAAUUGCAUCCUUUAGGCAUCUGAAUUGCUUUGAAAUUGCAUGCAAAGCUAAUUGAGUGUAUGAUUUUGCUGAUCCAACUCCUGCUACUUGCUCAAAUGAUGAUACAAUUAUUUGCAUUUGGUGAUGGUACUGUCUGUACCUUUGCUCCACCUCUUCAAGCAUGGCAAGAAGCUUGGCUUUUUUCAUUUGAAGUUCUUGUCUUUGA
Molecule: unclassified non-coding RNA, 424 nt
Filed under: Hevea brasiliensis (rubber tree)
Lineage: Eukaryota; Viridiplantae; Streptophyta; Magnoliopsida; Malpighiales; Euphorbiaceae
Source: RNAcentral